UGCUAAUGUCUUUGAUUCUAUUGAGUUUCUAUUGCCCUAUACAGGAAUUUGUGUACUCUUUUUAUUUUUCUCUUUUUCUUUAAAACGCACUCUCUUCUUUUGAUUUCCUAUUUUCAGCUUUUUGUUAGGCCUAUUUGAUAUUUGUUGCGGUCAAUAAUUUGAAAUUCCCUCAUUUAAGAACAAUGAAUUUAUACUCCUAUUCUUUUGUUUAUAUUGUAUUAGAUGAUACAUAGUAUAAAACAUCACAUGUGAUAUAUAACUUUUUAUUGACAAUUAUACUAUCUCAAACAACUAGUACUUACUAUUAAGCUUUUCCAUACUGUUCCUUAAGGGCAGGCUGCCAGUUUUGCAACAACACCCCCCCCCCACAAUGCGAAGGGAAAUAAUAAUAAAAAAUACAAAACAGAGGAACAAAAAAAAGAAAAAGAAAAGCAGAACCCUUUAAAAUGGGAGCUAUUAUUAAUCUUAUCUGGAGGGUGCUUGUUUUAAUUCCUUUACCUCUGUAUUGGAUUACUGCAUACUGCACUUCAAGUUUGUUUGCUGCAAUAGUUUUUUUUUGGGUUGACACACCUGUGUAUGACAAUAUUCUUCAUAUCUUGUUGCUGAUUGUUGUGAUGUUGCAUGUAUCUGAAUCCAUGUGUUUUAUGAAGAGUUACAUAUUUGUCUCUCUUUCUCAGGAAGUUGAGAAGCAUCUUUCAGAGAUGGUUGUCUCUAAAGCGCUGGUAGCAAAGAUUGAUCGGCCAAUGGGUAUAGUCUGUUUCCAGGCAGCAAAGGACAGCAAUGACAUUUUGAAUUCAUGGGCUAUGAACUUGGAGAAGUUGCUUGACCUCAUGGAGAAGAGUUGCCACCAAAUCCACAAGGAAACUAUGGUUCACAAAGCUGCCUUGAAAGUUUGAAAAUGCUGAUGGCACUAAUUGCAAGGUGUGCUCUGCUGUGUUUUGAGGACCUAUUGACAGAAACCAAAAUGGGUUGGUGUUGUUGCAGCGGGAAGAGAUUAUUAUGUGCUUUUAUCUGUUUCCUCCAUCCUUCGGCUUUAUUAAAAGAUUGAUUAAAGAUUCCACAUGGUUUCUGCCUUUAAGUCUUUUGUGCUUUUUAUUAGUGUUUUUUCUCAGUUGAUUUACUCAUUGGGAUGAUAGAUUGGUAGUUGUGAUAUGAAAAUUAGCAGGCCUAUGGUAUUUGUUGUCUACAGUAAAAUGAUUUGUGAAUCAGAUGUGGAUUAUGUUUCACUUCUAUAGUUCACAAAGUGGAUAUUUCUUUUUUGUAUACGGAGGACAUCAUUUUUGUAUGAUUAUCUAUUUGUAUGGAAUUAUUAUUUUGGGUUGGAUUAUAUUUGGUUUGUAUAGAA
Camellia sinensis is the source of this 1345-nucleotide non-coding RNA. The record is from RefSeq and is a predicted model, not a curated record. NCBI's taxonomy places the organism in Eukaryota, Viridiplantae, Streptophyta, Magnoliopsida, Ericales, Theaceae.